GGAGUUAGCCGGUGCUUCUUCUGUGAGUGAUGUCCUUCCUGCCGGCUAUUAACCCGCAGGCCUUCUUCCUCACUGAAAGUGCUUUACAACCCGAAGGCCUUCUUCACACACGCGGCAUGGCUGGAUCAGGGUUGCCCCCAUUGUCCAAUAUUCCCCACUGCUGCCUCCCGUAGGAGUCUGGGCCGUGUCUCAGUCCCAGUGUGGCUGAUCAUCCUCUCAGACCAGCUACGGAUCGUCGCCUUGGUGAGCCGUUACCUCACCAACCAGCUAAUCCGACAUAGGCUCAUCCGAUAGCGCGAGGCCCGAAGGUCCCCCGNUUUCCCCCGUAGGGCGUAUGCGGUAUUAGCCUGGGUUUCCCCCAGGUUAUCCCCCACUACCGGGCAGAUUCCUAUGCAUUACUCACCCGUCCGCCGCUCGCCACCAGGGAGCAAGCUCCCCGUGCUGCCGCUCGACUUGCAUGUGUUAGGCCUGCCGCCAGCGUUCAAUCUGAGCCAGAAUCAAACUCUGA
Molecule: ribosomal RNA, 508 nt
Filed under: uncultured bacterium
Lineage: Bacteria
Description: partial 16S ribosomal RNA
Source: RNAcentral